AACGAACGCUGGCGGCAUGCCUAACACAUGCAAGUCGAACGAGACCUUCGGGUCUAGUGGCGCACGGGUGCGUAACGCGUGGGAACCUGCCCUUAGGUUCGGAAUAACUCCCCGAAAGGGGUGCUAAUACCGGAUAAUGUCUUCGGACCAAAGAUUUAUCGCCUUUGGAUGGGCCCGCGUUGGAUUAGCUAGUUGGUAGGGUAAAAGCCUACCAAGGCGACGAUCCAUAGCUGGUCUGAGAGGAUGAUCAGCCACACUGGGACUGAGACACGGCCCAGACUCCUACGGGAGGCAGCAGUGGGGAAUAUUGGACAAUGGGCGAAAGCCUGAUCCAGCAAUGCCGCGUGAGUGAUGAAGGCCUUAGGGUUGUAAAGCUCUUUUACCCAGGAUGAUAAUGACAGUACCGGGAGAAUAAGCUCCGGCCAACUCCGUG
RNAcentral lists this ribosomal RNA (433 nucleotides) under uncultured bacterium. RNAcentral describes it as "partial 16S ribosomal RNA". It matches the Rfam family "Bacterial small subunit ribosomal RNA", at positions 29 to 507 of the family's 1533-position model. The record is from RNAcentral.